RNAcentral lists this ribosomal RNA (659 nucleotides) under Stenotrophomonas maltophilia. RNAcentral describes it as "bacterial SSU rRNA". It matches the Rfam family "Bacterial small subunit ribosomal RNA", at positions 56 to 699 of the family's 1533-position model. Lineage: Bacteria; Pseudomonadati; Pseudomonadota; Gammaproteobacteria; Lysobacterales; Lysobacteraceae. The record is from RNAcentral.
UCCAAGUCGAACGGUAAGCACGAAAGGAAGCUUGCUCCUUGGCUGACGAGUGGCGGACGGGUGAGUGAAUGUCUGGGAAUCUGCCCUGUGGAGGGGGAUAACUUCUGGAAACUUACGCUAAUACCGCAUACCAUCUACGGAUGAAAGAGGGGGAUCUUCGGACCUCGCGCCAUUGAAUGAGCCCAUAUCGGAUUAGCUUGUUGGUGGGGUAAAGGCCCACCAAGGCGACGAUCCCUAGCUGGUCUGAGAGGAUGAUCAGCCACACUGGAACUGAGACACGGUCCAGACUCCUACGGGAGGCAGCAGUGGGGAAUAUUGCACAAUGGGCGCAAGCCUGAUGCAGCCAUACCGCGUGGGUGAAGAAGGCCUUCGGGUUGUAAAGCCCUUUUGUUGGGAAAGAAAGCAGUCUGGUUAAUACCUUUGUGCGAUGACGUUACCCGCAGAAUAAGCACCGGCUAACUCCGUGCCAGCAGCCGCGGUAAUACGAAGGGUGCAAGCGUUACUCGGAAUUACUGGGCGUAAAGCGCGCGCAGGUGGUCGGUUAAGUCCGAUGUGAAAUCCCUGGGCUCAACCUGCGAACUGCAUCUGAGUACUGGCCGACUAGAGUCUCGUAGAGGGUGGCAGAAUUCCUGGUGUAGCAGUGAAAUGCGUACAGAUCU